AAUAAGUAUUUGGAUGAUGUUGGUAACUUUUGGGGAAUUCAGGGUCUAUAAGUUGGUUCGCCUGGCGAUGCCGACAUCCGGCUGGCGUGUUUGUCAUUUCGGCAACCGCAGCUGUUCGUCACUUAAAUCUCGUCUUUUGUUGAGUCAACAAGUCUCCAGUGGCCAUUGGAAGAAUUUACCUUUUGGUUGAAAUAUUUUAGUAGAAGAUUAGUUUAUGUUGGAAGGAGUUAUUUUGUUUUGGGUUUUGUGGAGUGUUUUGAGGAGAAGAGUUUUUGGUUUCCAAUACUUUUUUGAAGAACAAUGGCCACUGGAGAAAAGAAGAUUAAGUCACCUUUUUAUUUUUUGGAAAUGGAAUAAUCAAUCAUUUUGGGGUUUCUUUUGGUGGAUCGGGAUUAUUUUCUGUUUGUUGUUUUGGAAUCGACAUUGAUUUUUACCAGUACUUGUAAGCACCUCCUCGUCUGACAUCCGCAUUGUGGUCGAGUAUCUCCCUAGGAUUGGAAAACCGGAGGAUACCUAUCUGGCUCUCCCAUCAUCAACCUCUCCAGGAGUUUGGAGAAACCAUAGUCCCUACUUUUGUAGAAGCGACAGGUUUUUUAUAAAAUUUACAUUUUCAAUUCUUUUAAAUAAUUUCUUGCAAUUUUAAUAUUUUUUUUUCAGUAACUUAUAAUAACAUUAAUAAUCAUAUAAAUUCAUUUUUCUAAAAUCAACUAACUUUAUAAUAUUCAAUAAUUUUUUUCCAACAAAUUUUAUCUUUUACUGUUCAUAUCAUUCUUUUAAAAUAGUCCGGGAGUUAUAAGCUAUAUGUUAAGAUGGUGUAUACAAUAUCUAGGGUUAUAAUUCCUAUUUAAUAACCUUUAUUUCAGUUAACAGGUAUUGUACUCAGGUUUAUCGCUUUAGGUCAGAUACUGGAUUGUCAGCCAAUACUGUGAUCAAUAUCAAUAUAAUAUUUUUGCUUAGGUAGAUAACUUGUGAUUCGAAAUAACUGUCUUGGUAUAAUUAAUUAAAUUUUUGUUUUUAUUCUUUUGUACUGUAAAUCUAAGUGUCGAUAAGAGCGUAUCCUUCUAGUACGUCAGGAAUUAGCUAGUUUGUAUAAAAUUGUAUAUAGGGGUUAUAGGUAUUUUUUUUCAUUAAAUUUGUUGGUUGUA
This 1145-nucleotide long non-coding RNA is filed under the name Diabrotica virgifera virgifera (western corn rootworm). RNAcentral describes it as "uncharacterized LOC126889388". Lineage: Eukaryota; Metazoa; Arthropoda; Insecta; Coleoptera; Chrysomelidae. The record is from RNAcentral.